This 253-nucleotide ribosomal RNA is filed under the name uncultured bacterium. RNAcentral describes it as "partial 16S ribosomal RNA". It matches the Rfam family "Bacterial small subunit ribosomal RNA", at positions 524 to 776 of the family's 1533-position model. The record is from RNAcentral.
UACGGGGGGGGCAAGCGUUGUUCGGAAUUACUGGGCGUAAAGGGUGCGUAGGUGGCAGGGUAAGUUGGAUGUGAAAUCCCGGGGCUCAACCCCGGAACUGCAUUCAAUACUGCCCUGCUAGAGUACUGGAGAGGAGAUUGGAAUUCAUGGUGUAGCAGUGAAAUGCGUAGAUAUCAUGAGGAAGACCAGUGGCGAAGGCGGAUCUCUGGACAGUUACUGACACUGAGGCACGAAGGCCAGGGGAGCAAACGGG